ACAGAAGGUAAUGGAUUCUUCUAAUUGCAUUAAAAGUGAGCCGUAGUUAAAUGUCAAAAUAAAUUGUUUUUUAUUGGAAAUGUAAAUAUUUUCGACCAGUUUAGGUAACCGACAGCGCUUAUUAAUUAAGUAAAAAUUUUAGUCAGGCUUGAGGUUGGUUGGAAUUUCUUGCGGUUUUCCUUACACUCGAUUCGCUGGCUUGGGGCAGUUUCAAUUCUCUCAAUUUUGAGUUUUAAGCGGCCACAAAUUGAUAAAUCUCUCGAACAAACCUCCAAUUAUCAGAUGACAAAAGGGUGCAGAACAGUGAAUCCUUCAUUUAAAAUGUCAAGAUUGUGCAAAAUUGAAUCGAUCAAGGUCUGCUAACCUUUGUCCAAGCGGAGAAUCCACAUUUUCGAUUUUGUCGAUUUAAACGGUCAAGGCCUCUGCCAUCAACUGUGCCAAUGUCGGAGAUUCGGAAGCUGAUCGCUAAUUACGGGACUUACAAGAGGAGAUCGUAAACUGUUGCAAUCUAAUCGCAUUUUAAAAUCUCGUGUGUUAAACAAUUAUUUUUGACAUUUUGUGUAUGUUUUACGCUUUUGUAAAUUUCGAGCGCGUUUAUCUGUUAUCUCGAUCAUGCAAAUGUGUGGCCUCGUUCGGCGGGUUGUGUAAUUUGGUGAAAAUGAAAGAAGAGAUUGGG
Tribolium castaneum (red flour beetle) is the source of this 676-nucleotide long non-coding RNA. RefSeq lists it as uncharacterized. The record is from RefSeq and is a predicted model, not a curated record. The transcript has 3 exons. NCBI's taxonomy places the organism in Eukaryota, Metazoa, Arthropoda, Insecta, Coleoptera, Tenebrionidae.